Molecule: ribosomal RNA, 500 nt
Filed under: uncultured bacterium
Lineage: Bacteria
Description: partial 16S ribosomal RNA
Rfam family: Bacterial small subunit ribosomal RNA
Source: RNAcentral
AUUGAACGCUGGCGGCAUGCCUUACACAUGCAAGUCGAACGGCAGCACGGGUGCUUGCACCUGGUGGCGAGUGGCGAACGGGGGAGUAAUACAUCGGACGUACCUUAUCGUGGGGGAUAACGCAGCGAAAGCUGUGCUAAUACCGCAUGCGCCCUGAGGGGGAAAGAGGGGGAUCGCAAGACCUCGCGCGAUUAGAGCGGCCGAUGCCUGAUUAGCUUGUUGGGGGGGUAAAAGCCCACCAAGGCGACGAUCAGUAGCUGGUCUGAGAGGACGAUCAGCCACACUGGGACUGAGACACGGCCCAGACUCCUACGGGAGGCAGCAGUGGGGAAUUUUGGACAAUGGGGGCAACCCUGAUCCAGCAAUGCCGCGUGAGUGAAGAAGGCCUUCGGGUUGUAAAGCUCUUUUGUCAGGGAAGAAACACCGGCUCUAACACAGUCUGGGAAUGACGGUACCUGAAGAAUAAGCACCGGCUAACUACGUGCCAGCCGCCGCCGUAA